RNAcentral lists this long non-coding RNA (927 nucleotides) under Mus musculus (house mouse). RNAcentral's name for it is "predicted gene, 49934". Lineage: Eukaryota; Metazoa; Chordata; Mammalia; Rodentia; Muridae. The record is from RNAcentral.
UUUCUGGAGUCCUUGGAAGAUAAGCUUGAGAAUGAAGGAGAGAGGAGGCCCAGACCACCACCUCUUUGGUACACAUUACUGUGAACCUUCAUGCUGUUUAGAGACAAGCGUUUGUGUCUCCUGAUGUUCCUGCCACUGUACAGUGGGUUUCAACAAGAGUUCCUCUCUGGAGAGUACACAAAGUCUUAUGUGACCUGUGCCCUGGGCAUCCACUUUGUGGGCUACGUGAUGAUCUGCUUCUCAGCCAUGACUGCACUGUGCUCCCUGCUGUAUGGGAAGAUCUCCAAGUACACGGGCAGGGCAGCGCUCUAUGUGCUGGGAGCAGCCAUUCACUUCUCUUGCAUUGUGGUCUUCCUGCUGUGGCACCCAAACACCAACCAACUGCCUGUCUUCUUCGUCCUCUCUGGCCUGUGGGGAAUGUCUGAUGCUGUCUGGCAGACACAGAACAAUGAGGCAGGACUACAAUGGAUGGUCUGCAGAGUUUGGGUGAUGUGACUGCAGAGAUUUUUGGACUGCCACUAGAGGGACAUUCUGUACAGGAAAGCAAGCCUUUGAGGACAGAAGAUGAAACCCAAGGGGCCCCCUUGAAGCCACUGGUGUUCCGAGUGGAUGAGAGCACCCCUGGGCUCGUACAGAGUGUCCUGCUGGAGCGUGGGUGGGACAAGUUUGAUGAGCAACGUCAGGAUGUGGAGGACUGGAAUCUAUACUGGAGGUCGUCCUCCUUCCGGAGGGCGGAAUAUGUCAAUGUCAAACCCUGGCAGAGGCUCAACCAUCACCCAGGGAUGACCAAUCUCACCAGGAAGGACUGCCUGGCCAAACACCUGGCGCGCAUGAGAAGUCGCUAUGGUGAGUCUCUCUAUGAGUUCACACCCCUGACAUUCAUCAUGCCCACUGACUAUACCAAGUUUCUGGCCAAGUACUUCAAGG